Molecule: long non-coding RNA, 292 nt
Organism: Bombus impatiens (common eastern bumble bee)
Lineage: Eukaryota; Metazoa; Arthropoda; Insecta; Hymenoptera; Apidae
Exons: 2
Source: RefSeq, a predicted model, not a curated record
AAACGUUAUCCUUAGUUGGCUGCGAGAUGAACGAUGAUGCAUGGCCGAGACACAUAAGUUCAACUGUACAUUUUAAGUGAAUGAAACGUAUAAACGUGCACGAAUAUGCGUCGUAAAAUUGUAUUAACGGCCAGGUGCACUUUUACGGAUCGAUGAAGAUUGUUUCAGUGUUGUUUGAAAGAAACGUAAAAGGAAGAACGUGGUUUAUCCGUUUAAUUCGCUUUUGGAAGGAAGGAGAAAUGUUUCGUAAUGCACGACAACUGAGAUAGUUUAUAAUUUAAUAUUAGAAGUA